CGUGUAGGCGGCCGGUCAAGUCCGGUGUGAAAGCCCGAGGCUCAGCCUCGGAAGUGCAUCGGAAACUAGCCGGCUCGAGCGCGAUAGAGGAGGGUGGAAUUCCUGGUGUAGCGGUGAAAUGCGUAGAUAUCAGGAGGAACACCGGCGGCGAAGGCGGCCCUCUGGAUCGUUGCUGACGCUGAGACGCGAAAGCGUGGGGAGCAAACAGGAUUAGAUACCCUGGUAGUCCACGCUGUAAACGAUGGGUACUAGGUGUUCGGGGUGUUGACCCCCUGAGUGCCGACGCUAACGCAUUAAGUACCCCGCCCUGGGGACGUACGGCCGCAAGGUUAAA
RNAcentral lists this ribosomal RNA (334 nucleotides) under uncultured bacterium. RNAcentral's name for it is "bacterial SSU rRNA". It matches the Rfam family "Bacterial small subunit ribosomal RNA", at positions 568 to 898 of the family's 1533-position model. The record is from RNAcentral.